Molecule: ribosomal RNA, 389 nt
Filed under: uncultured bacterium
Lineage: Bacteria
Description: bacterial SSU rRNA
Rfam family: Bacterial small subunit ribosomal RNA
Source: RNAcentral
UGGAUAGGGGUUCUGAGAGGAAGGUCCCCCACAUUGGAACUGAGACACGGUCCAAACUCUACGGGAGGCAGCAGUGAGGAAUAUUGGUCAAUGGACGAGAGUCUGAACCAGCCAAGUAGCGUGAAGGAUGAAGGUUUAUGGAUUGUAAACUUCUUUUAUACGGGAAUAACGGAUCCACGUGUGGAUUUUUGCAUGUACCGUAUGAAUAAGGAUCGGCUAACUCCGUGCCAGCAGCCGCGGUAAUACGGAGGAUCCGAGCGUUAUCCGGAUUUAUUGGGUUUAAAGGGAGCGUAGAUGGGUUGUUAAAUCAGUUGUGAAAGUUCGCGGCUCAACCGUAAAAUUGCAAUUGAUACUGGCAGUCUUGAGUACAGUUGAGGUAGGCGGAAUUC